CCUCCAGCACGUCCAGCACCUCCAGCUGGUUCCUGUGAACACACACACUCAGAAUCUAGGUCCUGCACCUGGAGACGCUGCGUGUUGAGGACAGUCUGGUUCUCACCCUUCCUCCUUGAAGAAGAGAAGCCAGUUUUUUUGGAAGCCUUGCCGGCGGGUUGAUCCCCGUCUGGAGACAGCAGCAGCCUCCGCACGGCGCCCGUCACCAGGUCCACGUGGAGCACCGUGUUACUCUGGUGAAUAAAGCAGAAUGAAAGAUUUUAAACUCCUGAGUGAUUCUGGCCUUAGUGAAGUAAACAUACUUCCACCUGCAGACGCCAGGCCUCUGCACAGUGAUUCUAACGUUUCUAGUUUAACAACUGAAAUCAUAACCAGCACUAGUACAGAUUCCUCUUUGCAUCAUGACCCAUGGAAAUCUCAAGCUUAACAAACAGAUGAUGAAAACAAAACCUCUUUGUUCAACGUAAAAAAUGGAACAAAUAUCAAUGGACAGAGAUAAUGAUUGAAAUACGUGGUUUAUUAAAUGUGAUGAUCAUGUUCGGAUGCAGUUUGAUGAAUCCUCCAUUCAUCAUUUUCUAACUAAAUAGAUCAAACACCUAAUUCCAUAAACAACUGUUUUUCAUUCAAGAUCCUUUAAUAAUUCUCUAGAAAUCAGUGACAUCAACAUUAAUAACUUCUUCUUGGGUCUCGUCUCAUCCUGACAUGGAAACCACUCCAGCAGCUCCUGCGUAAUGCUGCUGACUAACAAAUUUCAUUUCUAUUGAUCAUGUUUCAGUGCAGAUCUAUUUAAACCAUCUGCUACCAAUGAUGAAGACGUCAUGUUCACUGUGCAUGGUGAGUCCGUUCACAGCCACCAGGGGGCGCUCUGCUCCACAAGGUUCUGUCUACUGCUGUCCAGAGCCCAGAAGUAUGUGAGUGCACGUGCAGAGGUGUGACAGCAUUGCAGGACAUGCGUGUGUGUGUGCAUGUGCCUGGUGUGUUCCCCGAUUUUCCUGGAAGGCCGAUUGACCG
Molecule: long non-coding RNA, 1011 nt
Organism: Platichthys flesus (European flounder)
Lineage: Eukaryota; Metazoa; Chordata; Actinopteri; Pleuronectiformes; Pleuronectidae
Exons: 3
Source: RefSeq, a predicted model, not a curated record